GGCGUGCUUAACACAUGCAAGUCGAACGAUGAAGCCCAGCUUGCUGGGUGGAUUAGUGGCGAACGGGUGAGUAACACGUGAGUAACCUGCCCUUUCCUCUGGGAUAACUCCGGGAAACCGGUGCUAAUACUGGAUAUGACUCUUGCCUGCAUGGGUGGGGGUGGAAAGAUUUAUCGGGAUUGGAUGGACUCGCGGCCUAUCAGCUUGUUGGUGGGGUAAUGGCCUACCAAGGCGACGACGGGUAGCCGGCCUGAGAGGGUGACCGGCCACACUGGGACUGAGACACGGCCCAGACUCCUACGGGAGGCAGCAGUGGGGAAUAUUGCACAAUGGGCGGAAGCCUGAUGCAGCGACGCCGCGUGAGGGAUGACGGCCUUCGGGUUGUAAACCUCUUUCAGCUCUGACGAAGCUUUUGUGACGGUAGGAGCAGAAGAAGCACCGGCUAACUACGUGCCAGCAGCCGCGGUAAUACGUAGGGUGCGAGCGUUGUCCGGAAUUAUUGGGCGUAAAGAGCUUGUAGGCGGUUUGUCGCGUCUGCUGUGAAAUCCCGGGGCUUAACUCCGGGCUUGCAGUGGGUACGGGCAGGCUAGAGUAUGGUAGGGGAGACUGGAAUUCCUGGUGUAGCGGUGGAAUGCGCAGAUAUCAGGAGGAACACCGAUGGCGAAGGCAGGUCUCUGGGCCAUUACUGACGCUGAGAAGCGAAAGCGUGGGGAGCGAACAGGAUUAGAUACCCUGGUAGUCCACGCCGUAAACGUUGGGCGCUAGGUGUGGGUCCCAUUCCACGGGGUCCGUGCCGCAGCUAACGCAUUAAGCGCCCCGCCUGGGGAGUACGGCCGCAAGGCUAAAACUCAAAGGAAUUGACGG
RNAcentral lists this ribosomal RNA (864 nucleotides) under uncultured Ornithinimicrobium sp. RNAcentral's name for it is "bacterial SSU rRNA". It matches the Rfam family "Bacterial small subunit ribosomal RNA", at positions 41 to 916 of the family's 1533-position model. Lineage: Bacteria; Bacillati; Actinomycetota; Actinomycetes; Micrococcales; Ornithinimicrobiaceae. The record is from RNAcentral.